ACACCAUACAUGGCGGGGGACGCGCCAGUGGUGGAGGCGCGGAGCGCAGAACGUGCACCAGGCCAGAGAGGGGGCUCCGUCCCCCGCACUCCAGACAGUGGUUUCGUCCAGAUCUAGCCACGCCCCGGGGCGGGGCUUCCAGUUUUUCCCAGGACUUCACCCUCUCGGAGCUCUAGGGCUGGGUCUGGGCUCAGGGUGCUGAGAGACGCCUGCGGGUGGGACCCCACUGACUCGGGAGAGGUCGGCUCCGAGGAGUCGUUCCUAAGCCCACUAAACGGACCCAGAGUCUCAGAGCAUGACGUCAGACCCAGUUUGCCCUCCGGGGAAGGCUGGCCCUAAGUGAGUCACCCUGUCCGUCCUGCCCGAGGGGGUCACUGCCAGAGGGGCCGGUGUCAGAGCUAGGACUGGGCUGCUUUGUCACUCGGGCACUCUAGGCUGUGAAUUACCCGUCUGGCACUGCUAGUCCUAAGAUUUGGACUUUAAUUUCUUGCUCUGAUGUCCGGAAUUGGAGAGAUCGAAGGGGUGGGACCUUCAUCGAUGUAUUUGUUGAGUUACUCAACUAAAGAGUUUUCGUUUAGCUCAUGGAACUUGAGCUUAGCCCAGCUGACCUAAACCUAGGACAGAUAUCGUCACAGUCUACUUCUGAAAAGCAGCUCGACAGACGUACAAUAUACUUGCUUGGCUUUCGUACCAUCCUUGGACAAGGCUCGUCCUUUUAUAGGAUGCUGAAAGCCAGGCAUGGAGAUACACACCUGCAAUACCAGUACUUGGGAAGUUGAAGCAGGAAGAUCAGGUGUUGAAGACCAGCUUCAGCCACAUAGUAAAUUUGAGGCCAGCCUGAGCUACUUGAGACCGUGUCCAAAAAACUCUCAAAGGUUAAAAACAAAAGCAAUCCUGGUAGCUGCCAUCAGUCUGUACUCCCGCCAUCAGUGGAGAAGGGUUCCUCUUCCUCACCUCUUCUGCAGCAUGCUUUCUUAAUGGGUCUCAUGCAACCCAGGCUGGCCUUGAAAUGUCCUUCUGCAGAACAGGACGAUCCCUAUUGUGAUACUAGACUACAAAACAAGCAAUUGAUCAAUCAAACAAACAAGGAAGAUAGAAGAAAAAAAACCCAAACAAACGAGAGAGAGAGAGAAAGAAAGAAAGAAAAGAGUAUCGAGGCUUUACUUACACUCUAACAUCCUCUAAAUGUGCAGAUCAAGCUUGGACCGCGAUAAAGAGAGGCAGCAGAGCAACAAGCAAGAGCCCAGCGCAGCAGGGGAGCGUAUUUUCUGAAGAAACACGACAGAGGAUUCAGUGAAGAAGUUCUGCAGUCCUUUAAGUGGUUACUCUUACCUGAAAAGUAAAU
Long non-coding RNA from Myodes glareolus (Bank vole), 1345 nucleotides. RefSeq lists it as uncharacterized. NCBI's taxonomy places the organism in Eukaryota, Metazoa, Chordata, Mammalia, Rodentia, Cricetidae. The record is from RefSeq and is a predicted model, not a curated record.